Long non-coding RNA from Nicotiana tabacum (common tobacco), 825 nucleotides. RefSeq lists it as uncharacterized. The record is from RefSeq and is a predicted model, not a curated record. Lineage: Eukaryota; Viridiplantae; Streptophyta; Magnoliopsida; Solanales; Solanaceae.
CUCCUUUCCCCCGCUUUUUUUCCCAAGCCCACAAUUAGUUCCCUCUCUUCAACUCACAAAUUAGGGUUUAGUUUCCUUUUUCAUAAUAGCAGGGCUCAAUUCCCUCUCGUCAUCAUCAUCUCUACAAAAUAAUUCGGCGCAAUCCGAACAAUAAAGGUGAUGCACAUCCAUCGCAAGAUAAAUCCUCCACCAGUGCAAAGGUCUGGUGAGCUGUAUGAUAGCAUUGAGGAGAAGCUAUAACCAUUGAAGAAUAUUUGCAGCAUUGAAUCCAGUUGGAUUGAAACAAAAAAAUGGUAGCCUUCAGAACAAAUGAACAUGGUUAGUUCAAUGACAUCUGGCUAUAUGGCUAUAGAAUGAUACUGCAAUAUAAGAAACAACAAAGAUCCCUGGCAUUCUUAUUGUGAGAAUUGAUUCUGCUAGCAACUUUUCUAACUCCAAUUACAUGAACUACAGUUGCUACUGAUACAUAUACUAGGGGAAUCCAUGCCUUCAAAGAUUUGAUUAUGUCCUCAAGAAAUGAGAUGUUUUCUUGACAGUGAGUCUACUUUACUUGUGAAGUAAGAGGAUCAUCGAGUGACAUCAAGAGUAUCAUUGGGUGACAACAAUAUAAAUCGCCAAGCAAAUACAUAAUACUAUAAGUUUCCAUUCCGAAUAAUACAUAUUUGAGUUACCUUGCAUGAGUUAGUAUUAGUUUAGUUUGAUAGGGAUUUGAACAACUGAUGUUUGUUAAUUGUUAUUAUGGUUAUUUGUAACGAUGAUGGGGAUUUGAACAAUUGAUGUUUGUUAAUUGUCAUUAUGGUUUGUAAUGAAGUUUGAUUUAUGUUA